This 107-nucleotide ribosomal RNA is filed under the name Candidatus Nomurabacteria bacterium. Lineage: Bacteria; Candidatus Nomuraibacteriota. The record is from RNAcentral.
UUCGGUGCCCAUAGCACCAAGGCAACACCUGUUCCCAUUCCGAACACAGAAGUUAAGCUUGGUUACGGCGAAGAUAGUCUUCGGGCGAAAAUAGCAAGGUGCCGAAU